Molecule: ribosomal RNA, 254 nt
Filed under: uncultured bacterium
Lineage: Bacteria
Description: partial 16S ribosomal RNA
Rfam family: Bacterial small subunit ribosomal RNA
Source: RNAcentral
UACGUAGGGUGCGAGCGUUGUCCGGAAUUAUUGGGCGUAAAGAGCUCGUAGGCGGUCUGUCGCGUCGAUCGUGAAAACUUGGGGCUUAACCCUGAGCUUGCGGUCGAUACGGGCAUGACUGGAGUUCGGCAGGGGAGACUGGAAUUCCUGGUGUAGCGGUGAAAUGCGCAGAUAUCAGGAGGAGCACCGGUGGCGAAGGCGGGUCUCUGGGCCGAUACUGACGCUGAGGAGCGAAAGCGUGGGGAGCGAACAGG